UUUUUUUUUUUUUGAUGGCAAGAAUCCGCAGCAACCCUAUCGCCCACACAUAUUUUAAUCGCGCACAUGCUCUAUUUUCUUCCUCUCAUCUCCUCUCCUGUGCCAAUCGCUGCGGUUGCCACUCGUGUGUUGACAGCUGCAUUGCUCCGAGGCCACAUACACAUUAGACUUCAAUAAUUACGAGACAAAAUAAAUAAUAAAUGUUAUGUCCCACCGAAUAUACCAAAUAAAAUACAUAUACAUCAGGACAAAAAUGUAUGUUUUAAAAAUAUAACUUAUGGUGCAUUUAACUAUUAAUCUUGUUUGAUGGUGUACAUGUUAGAAAUAUAGGC
Molecule: long non-coding RNA, 332 nt
Filed under: Zea mays
Lineage: Eukaryota; Viridiplantae; Streptophyta; Magnoliopsida; Poales; Poaceae
Description: long non-coding RNA NONZMAT003172
Source: RNAcentral